GCAUAGUUGUAUCCGAGGCACUGAAAAGAAGAAUCAUGCCACUUAAACCUUUUAAAAUCUUAAUAUUGAUGUUUGGAUUUUGUUCCCGAUUCUAUGCUAUCGAAUAUCCACCAAUUCAAACUGCCCAAAAGGAAGUUCUGCGUGGCGUUGAUGUGUCUUUGCGAUGCGAGGUCUCUUUCCUGUCUGAAUCCUCAACAUUGCAGUGGGAGAGAGAUGGAGAACAAACAUCCAACACCACUCUACUGUACAACAACUCUGCCUACAUCAUCUUACACACCGUUGAUGAACACAAUCAGGGCAAAUAUUACUGUAGAUUGAUGGAAGAUGGAAGAGUAGCAACGGUUAGGAUUCACACGCUUAAUCUCAGUUCAAGUA
This is a long non-coding RNA of Rhinichthys klamathensis goyatoka, 375 nucleotides long. RefSeq lists it as uncharacterized. The record is from RefSeq and is a predicted model, not a curated record. Lineage: Eukaryota; Metazoa; Chordata; Actinopteri; Cypriniformes; Leuciscidae. The transcript is spliced from 3 exons.